RNAcentral lists this ribosomal RNA (303 nucleotides) under uncultured bacterium. RNAcentral's name for it is "partial 16S ribosomal RNA". It matches the Rfam family "Bacterial small subunit ribosomal RNA", at positions 507 to 807 of the family's 1533-position model. The record is from RNAcentral.
AGCAGUAGCCGCGGUAAUACGAAGGGUGCAAGCGUUAAUCGGAAUUACUGGGCGUAAAGCGUGCGUAGGCGGUGAGUUAAGUCUGCUGUGAAAUCCCCGGGCUCAACCUGGGAAUGGCAGUGGAUACUAGCUCGCUAGAGUGUGUCAGAGGAUGGUGGAAUUCCCGGUGUAGCGGUGAAAUGCGUAGAGAUCUGGAGGAACAUCAGUGGCGAAGGCGGCCAUCUGGGACAACACUGACGCUGAGGCACGAAAGCGUGGGGAGCAAACAGGAUUAGAUACCCCAGUAGUCCCUGUCUCUUAUAC